CCUACGGGUGACAGCAGUGAGGAAUAUUGGUCAAUGGUCGGGAGACUGAACCAGCCAAGCCGCGUGAGGGAUGAAGGUACAGAGUAUCGUAAACCUCUUUUGUCAGGGAACAAAGGCGGGGACGUGUCCCCGGAUGAGUGUACCUGACGAAGAAGCCCCGGCUAACUACGUGCCAGCAGCCGCGGUAAUACGUAGGGGGCAAGCGUUAUCCGGAUUUACUGGGUGUAAAGGGAGCGUAGACGGCUGUGCAAGUCUGAAGUGAAAGCCCGUGGCUCAACCGCGGAACUGCUUUGGAAACUGUCUAGCUUGCGUACUGGAGCGGCAGGCGGCAUUCCUAGUGUAGCGGU
RNAcentral lists this ribosomal RNA (347 nucleotides) under uncultured bacterium. RNAcentral's name for it is "partial 16S ribosomal RNA". It matches the Rfam family "Bacterial small subunit ribosomal RNA", at positions 338 to 682 of the family's 1533-position model. The record is from RNAcentral.